Molecule: ribosomal RNA, 2160 nt
Filed under: Salmonella enterica subsp. enterica serovar Enteritidis
Lineage: Bacteria; Pseudomonadati; Pseudomonadota; Gammaproteobacteria; Enterobacterales; Enterobacteriaceae
Description: partial 23S ribosomal RNA
Rfam family: Bacterial large subunit ribosomal RNA
Source: RNAcentral
GGGAGCCGGAGGGAAACCGAGUCUUAAUUGGGCGUUAAGUUGCAGGGUAUAGACCCGAAACCCGGUGAUCUAGCCAUGGGCAGGUUGAAGGUUGGGUAACACUAACUGGAGGACCGAACCGACUAAUGUUGAAAAAUUAGCGGAUGACCUGUGGCUGGGGGUGAAAGGCCAAUCAAACCGGGAGAUAGCUGGUUCUCCCCGAAAGCUAUUUAGGUAGCGCCUCGUGAAUUCAUCUCCGGGGGUAGAGCACUGUUUCGGCUAGGGGGCCAUCCCGGCUUACCAACCCGAUGCAAACUGCGAAUACCGGAGAAUGUUAUCACGGGAGACACACGGCGGGUGCUAACGUCCGUCGUGAAGAGGGAAACAACCCAGACCGCCAGCUAAGGUCCCAAAGUCAUGGUUAAGUGGGAAACGAUGUGGGAAGGCCCAGACAGCCAGGAUGUUGGCUUAGAAGCAGCCAUCAUUUAAAGAAAGCGUAAUAGCUCACUGGUCGAGUCGGCCUGCGCGGAAGAUGUAACGGGGCUAAACCAUGCACCGAAGCUGCGGCAGCGACACUGUGUGUUGUUGGGUAGGGGAGCGUUCUGUAAGCCUGUGAAGGUGUGUCGUGAGGCAUGCUGGAGGUAUCAGAAGUGCGAAUGCUGACAUAAGUAACGAUAAAGCGGGUGAAAAGCCCGCUCGCCGGAAGACCAAGGGUUCCUGUCCAACGUUAAUCGGGGCAGGGUGAGUCGACCCCUAAGGCGAGGCCGAAAGGCGUAGUCGAUGGGAAACGGGUUAAUAUUCCCGUACUUGGUGUUACUGCGAAGGGGGGACGGAGAAGGCUAUGUUGGCCGGGCGACGGUUGUCCCGGUUUAAGCGUGUAGGUGUGUGUUCCAGGUAAAUCCGGUUCACUUUAACACUGAGGCGUGACGACGAGGCACUACGGUGCUGAAGCAACAAAUGCCCUGCUUCCAGGAAAAGCCUCUAAGCAUCAGGUAACAUCAAAUCGUACCCCAAACCGACACAGGUGGUCAGGUAGAGAAUACCAAGGCGCUUGAGAGAACUCGGGUGAAGGAACUAGGCAAAAUGGUGCCGUAACUUCGGGAGAAGGCACGCUGACACGUAGGUGAAGUGAUUUACUCAUGGAGCUGAAGUCAGUCGAAGAUACCAGCUGGCUGCAACUGUUUAUUAAAAACACAGCACUGUGCAAACACGAAAGUGGACGUAUACGGUGUGACGCCUGCCCGGUGCCGGAAGGUUAAUUGAUGGGGUCAGCGCAAGCGAAGCUCCUGAUCGAAGCCCCGGUAAACGGCGGCCGUAACUAUAACGGUCCUAAGGUAGCGAAAUUCCUUGUCGGGUAAGUUCCGACCUGCACGAAUGGCGUAAUGAUGGCCAGGCUGUCUCCACCCGAGACUCAGUGAAAUUGAACUCGCUGUGAAGAUGCAGUGUACCCGCGGCAAGACGGAAAGACCCCGUGAACCUUUACUAUAGCUUGACACUGAACAUUGAGCCUUGAUGUGUAGGAUAGGUGGGAGGCUUUGAAGUGUGGACGCCAGUCUGCAUGGAGCCGACCUUGAAAUACCACCCUUUAAUGUUUGAUGUUCUAACGUGGACCCGUUACCCGGGUUGCGGACAGUGUCUGGUGGGUAGUUUGACUGGGGCGGUCUCCUCCUAAAGAGUAACGGAGGAGCACGAAGGUUGGCUAAUCCUGGUCGGACAUCAGGAGGUUAGUGCAAUGGCAUAAGCCAGCUUGACUGCGAGCGUGACGGCGCGAGCAGGUGCGAAAGCAGGUCAUAGUGAUCCGGUGGUUCUGAAUGGAAGGGCCAUCGCUCAACGGAUAAAAGGUACUCCGGGGAUAACAGGCUGAUACCGCCCAAGAGUUCAUAUCGACGGCGGUGUUUGGCACCUCGAUGUCGGCUCAUCACAUCCUGGGGCUGAAGUAGGUCCCAAGGGUAUGGCUGUUCGCCAUUUAAAGUGGUACGCGAGCUGGGUUUAGAACGUCGUGAGACAGUUCGGUCCCUAUCUGCCGUGGGCGCUGGAGAACUGAGGGGGGCUGCUCCUAGUACGAGAGGACCGGAGUGGACGCAUCACUGGUGUUCGGGUUGUCAUGCCAAUGGCACUGCCCGGUAGCUAAAUGCGGAAGAGAUAAGUGCUGAAAGCAUCUAAGCACGAAACUUGCCCCGA